GAUGAACGCUGGCGGCGUGCUUAACACAUGCAAGUCGAACGGAAAGGCCCAAGCUUGCUUGGGUACUCGAGUGGCGAACGGGUGAGUAACACGUGGGUGAUCUGCCCUGCACUUCGGGAUAAGCCUGGGAAACUGGGUCUAAUACCGGAUAGGACCACUUCUUGGAUGUUGUGGUGGAAAGUUUUUUCGGUGUGGGAUGAGCUCGCGGCCUAUCAGCUUGUUGGUGGGGUAAUGGCCUACCAAGGCGUCGACGGGUAGCCGGCCUGAGAGGGUGUACGGCCACAUUGGGACUGAGAUACGGCCCAGACUCCUACGGGAGGCAGCAGUGGGGAAUAUUGCACAAUGGGCGCAAGCCUGAUGCAGCGACGCCGCGUGGGGGAUGACGGCCUUCGGGUUGUAAACUCCUUUCGCUAGGGACGAAGCGUCUUGUGACGGUACCUGGAGAAGAAGCACCGGCUAACUACGUG
Molecule: ribosomal RNA, 467 nt
Filed under: uncultured bacterium
Lineage: Bacteria
Description: partial 16S ribosomal RNA
Rfam family: Bacterial small subunit ribosomal RNA
Source: RNAcentral